Molecule: long non-coding RNA, 793 nt
Organism: Rosa rugosa (rugosa rose)
Lineage: Eukaryota; Viridiplantae; Streptophyta; Magnoliopsida; Rosales; Rosaceae
Exons: 6
Source: RefSeq, a predicted model, not a curated record
CAUGAGAAUCCACGGAUUAUAAAAAGUCACACAAAAUCAUUUAAAAUCUAGAUUGAAUACACCCCCCUAAAACCCUAGCUUGCUCUUUGCCUCUUCCUCCUGUCCACAAUUUCUGUGUGCGGCGCCUUUCCAUCAGAAUCGCUCAAUUUUCCUGAUCAAAGUUUCAAAAGCCAUGUUAUUUUUCGGCCUAAGCCAACCUCGAGGCUUUGUUGAUUCGAGGUUGGCGUAGGGUGGAGUGGCGGAUCUAUUGUAGCGAUCUCGGAUGACGACGACUACGGUGGUUUGGAUCGACGAGGCAUCGAAGUCGUUCUCGCGGACCUCAGUGGGGAACAACUUCUUCACAUUUGACACUUCAACCAUAAAUCUUACGGUCCAGCAAAGUCUUACGGUUUAGCACUGCUCAGUUGUAGCUGCUAGUGACAGGAGACCACUUCUAUGGUAUAAGAUUUAUGUGCUGCUGCCGUGAGCCUCCUACUUGAGUACUUGAACAACAGAGGAAGGAUUGCAGCAUCAAAGGAAGGGUUGCAGCCUUAGGGAGGAAGAGUCUUCAUGUUUAAAUUUUCAAUUUUGAUGGGUUUAUAUGUAAAUUUGUAGUUUGUGUGGUUUAAUACAUUUUAAAAUACAGUAGACAGUACAGUAAUGUAGAGGUGCCAGUUGGCACCUUAUUUUUUUAAUCCAGCUUCAUAACUUUGCCACCAUCAGUGGCAUUCCAAAACCACCAUUACAGUGAUAAUUGGAGCAUUGUAGCUGCUGACAUGACAGUUGAUAUGACAACAUUCUUUUAAGUUGAAAA